AGGAGUUAAUCAGAAGGGGUACAGCUCUUCUGAUAAAAGAAACAACUUUAGUAGGUGAAACAGGAUCAUAUUAACCAAGGACUAAGAUUUAAGUGGGCCUAAAAGCAGCCACCUUUAAAGAAAGCGUUAAAGCUCCAACUAGUUCUCUGCCCUAUAUACUGGUAUCAAUUUUUCCCCCCCCCUACCACCUACCAGGCUAUCUUAUGCCCCCAUAAGAAUAAUUAUGCUAAAAUGAGUAAUAAGAAGAAACCAUUUCUUCUCCUAGCAUACGUGUAAGUCAGACCGGACCCCCCACCGACUAUUAUUCGACCCCAAUCCAAGAGGGACAUAAGUUAAAGAAACAAGAAAAUCACUUAACCAAAAUCGUUAACCUCACACAAGAAUGCAUCAAGGAAAGACUAAAAGGGAAGGAAGGAACUCGGCAAACCCAAGCCUCGCCUGUUUACCAAAAACAUCGCCUCUUGACCCAUUAGUAUAAGAGGUCUCGCCUGCCCAGUGACUAAGUGUUAAACGGCCGUGGUAUCUUAACCAUGCGAAGGUAGCGUAAUCACUUGUCUUUUAAAUGAAGACCUGUAUGAAUGGCAAAACGAGGGCUUAACUGUCUCCCUCCCCCAGUCAAUGAAAUUGACCUCCCCGUGCAGAGGCGGGGAUAAAUAUAUAAGACGAGAAGACCCUGUGGAGCUUUAGACUUAAAAUAACCACGUUUAACAAACUCCUACACCAGAAAAAGCUUAGUGAGGGCUAUUUAAAUGUCUUUGGUUGGGGUGACCGCGGGGCAAAAUUAAGCCCCCAUGAAGAUUGGGGAGAUAUCCCUAACACCAAGAGUCCCCCCUCUAAGCAACAAAAAUUUUGACUUUAAAAUGAUCCGGUCUAACCGAUUAACGAACUCAGUUACCCCAGGGAUAACAGCGCAAUCCCCUUUCAGAGUCCCUAUCGACAAGGGGGUUUACGACCUCGAUGUUGGAUCAGGACAUCCUAAUGGUGCAGCCGCUA
Molecule: ribosomal RNA, 993 nt
Filed under: Coryphaenoides profundicola (deepwater grenadier)
Lineage: Eukaryota; Metazoa; Chordata; Actinopteri; Gadiformes; Macrouridae
Description: partial 16S ribosomal RNA
Rfam family: Bacterial large subunit ribosomal RNA
Source: RNAcentral